Molecule: ribosomal RNA, 55 nt
Filed under: Varanus olivaceus
Lineage: Eukaryota; Metazoa; Chordata; Lepidosauria; Squamata; Varanidae
Description: partial 16S ribosomal RNA
Source: RNAcentral
AUCAUCUAUUGAAAUAAUAUUAAAUUCACAGUACCUCAUUAUCCAAAACCAGGAC